Brassica napus (rape) is the source of this 1677-nucleotide RNA transcript. It is a transcript of the gene named probable pectinesterase/pectinesterase inhibitor 39, with no coding region annotated. NCBI's taxonomy places the organism in Eukaryota, Viridiplantae, Streptophyta, Magnoliopsida, Brassicales, Brassicaceae. The record is from RefSeq and is a predicted model, not a curated record. The transcript is spliced from 3 exons.
GCUCUCACUACAGUCUUGAAAAAAAAAAAGAUGCAUAAUCCAAGUAGAAAAACGUCAAAACACAUAAAUCUCAACUUACUAGCAUUGACCUUUCACCUAAUCUUCUUAAUACCCACCGUUCAUUCACGAUCCACCCAGCGUCUAGCCGAACCCAAUAACAUCACUGAGCUCAUCGUCGCUACUUUAAACCAAACUAUCUUAAACGUCAAUGUCUCUUACACUACCUUCUACAACCUCCAAAAACGUCUUGGUCCAAACAUAGCUCGCCGUUACCGCUGCGCAUUCGAAGACUGUCUCGGUCUACUCGAUGACACUAUCUUCGAUCUUGAAACUGCAAUCUCCAAGCUCCAAACUUCUUCUCUUGGGGCCCACGAUGUCAAUAUGUUGCUCAGCGACGCCAUGACGAACCAAGACACGUGUCUCGAGGGUUUCAAGACAAGUGGAAUUCAUGAAAAAAAUAGUGAUAACACGUAUAAUUGACUGAUAGCUUGAAGGAUAGCAUCUUAAAGAUCUCUAGCAACCUCAGUACUCUCUCUGGGCAUGCUUCAGAAGAUUCCAGGACAUGAACUCUCCCCGGAAGCGUAUGAGGUUGACGUUGAGUUCCCGAGUUGGGUCUUAGAGAAUGACAAGAGACGCCUUCACGCUCCGGUGGAAAAAACUAAGUUUAAUCUCAUGGUGGCUCAAGAUGGUACCGGAAACUUCACUACCAUCAACGAUGCGGUCUCGGCCGCUCCUACCUCGAGUGUAACAAGGUUUAUGAUAUAUAUAAAACGUGGGGUAUACUUUGAGAACGUUGAGAUACCGAAGAAUAAGACAAUAAUAAUGUUUGUGGGAGACGGUAUCGGAAGAACAGUCAUAAAAGCAAACCGCAGGAAGGGUAACUUGGGAACAUUUCAAACUGCUACCGUAGGCGUGAAAGGUGAAGGGUUCAUAGCUAAGGAUAUAUCAUUCGUGAAUUUUGCUGGACCGUCACCACAAGCCGUGGCAUUGCGAAGCGGCUCUGACCACUCUGCUUUCUACCGUUGCUCGUUCGAAGGCUACCAAGACACUCUUUAUGUCUAUUCAGGCAAACAGUUCUACAGAGAAUGUGAUAUAUAUGGUACGGUCGAUUUCAUAUGUGGUAACGCGGCUGCUGUGUUCCAAAACUGUAGUCUUUUUGCUCGUAAACCAAAUCCUGGGCAGAAAAUCGUAUACACCGCUCAAAGUCGCACUUGUCCGAACCAGUCUACUGGUAUCUCUAUGAUUAACUGUAGAUUCUUGGCCGCUCCUGAUUUGAUCCCUGUAAAAGGAAGCUUCGAGGCGUACUUAGGUCGACCGUGGAAAAACUUCUCUAGGACUAUCAUCAUGAAAUCGUUUAUUGACGAUCUGGUUGUUCCUGCCGGAUGGUUGGAGUGGAACGGAAAUUUUGCUCUUGAAACCCUACAUUAUGGAGAGUACAUGAAUGAAGGACCUGGAUCAAACAUUACAAACCGGGUCAAAUGGCCUGGCUAUAGACCCAUACUAAACGAAACGGAAGCAACCCAAUUCACAGUCGGUCCAUUUAUUGAUGGUGGGACGUGGCUUAAUUCAACCGGCAUCCCAUUUAAUACCGGUUUGUAAUCACAGAUUUGAUUGUAAACAUGAGAUCAAGUCACUUUAGACUUGUACCUAAAAAUUAAUAUGAUCAACAUUCUAUAA